CUUCAUACCCAGUAGGCAUGAGUAGAAGAAGCAAAGAAAAAGAAAAUGGGAUGGAUCAGAAUAAAAACUUUCUCUGAUCUUAUCAACCUUGGUUCAUGAGCAGCGAAAUUCUGGAAAAGUUUAUAUCCUCACGAAAGGAGACAAUAGUCCUUCCGAUGACAGGGCAAAUUAUGCUCAGGGCCAACUUUGGUUGCAACGACACCAUGUCAUUGUGAGAGUUGUUGGUACAUAUUUAUAGUCACAAUGGGAUUGCGGGCCAUGACUGAUGAUUAGAUACAAAUUUCCCGUUUCAAUACAUGGUUCUCACCAUACAAAUUUUUCUUUCUAGACAGACCAAGAAGAAAGGAGAUGGAUAGGAAAUUAGGCAUGGUCAUACUCCACAUCUUUUCUGUUCUGUAGACUGACAGUCAAAACACUGCCAAUUGGAUUAAAUACCUGUUAAGGUUAAUAUCA
This is a long non-coding RNA of Quercus lobata, 453 nucleotides long. RefSeq lists it as uncharacterized. NCBI's taxonomy places the organism in Eukaryota, Viridiplantae, Streptophyta, Magnoliopsida, Fagales, Fagaceae. The transcript is spliced from 4 exons. The record is from RefSeq and is a predicted model, not a curated record.